This 429-nucleotide ribosomal RNA is filed under the name Chloroflexota bacterium. Its description in RNAcentral is "Chloroflexi bacterium partial 16S ribosomal RNA". It matches the Rfam family "Bacterial small subunit ribosomal RNA", at positions 355 to 776 of the family's 1533-position model. The record is from RNAcentral. Lineage: Bacteria; Bacillati; Chloroflexota.
UGGGGAAUAUUGCACAAUGGGCGCAAGCCUGAUGCAGCCAUGCCGCGUGUGUGAAGAAGGCCUUCGGGUUGUAAAGCACUUUCAGCGGGGAGGAAGGCGGUGAGGUUAAUAACCUUAUCAAUUGACGUUACCGACAGAAGAAGCACCGGCUAACUCCGUGCCAGCAGCCGCGGUAAUACGGAGGGUGCAAGCGUUAAUCGGAAUUACUGGGCGUAAAGCGCACGCAGGCGGUUUGUUAAGUCAGAUGUGAAAUCCCCGGGCUCAACCUGGGAACUGCAUCUGAUACUGGCAAGCUUGAGUCUCGUAGAGGGGGGUAGAAUUCCAGGUGUAGCGGUGAAAUGCGUAGAGAUCUGGAGGAAUACCGGUGGCGAAGGCGGCCCCCUGGACGAAGACUGACGCUCAGGUGCGAAAGCGUGGGGAGCAAACAGG